GGGCCUGUAGCUCAAUUGGGAGAGCACUGCCUUUGCAAGGCAGGGGUUAGCGGUUCGAGCCCGCUCAGGUCCA
Molecule: transfer RNA, 73 nt
Filed under: Tepidisphaera mucosa
Lineage: Bacteria; Pseudomonadati; Planctomycetota; Phycisphaerae; Tepidisphaerales; Tepidisphaeraceae
Also listed under: 3 other names
Description: tRNA-Ala
Rfam family: tRNA
About the family: Transfer RNA (tRNA) molecules are approximately 80 nucleotides in length. Their secondary structure includes four short double-helical elements and three loops (D, anti-codon, and T loops).
Source: RNAcentral